Molecule: ribosomal RNA, 2087 nt
Filed under: Triticum aestivum (bread wheat)
Lineage: Eukaryota; Viridiplantae; Streptophyta; Magnoliopsida; Poales; Poaceae
Description: partial small subunit ribosomal RNA
Source: RNAcentral
UUUUUAGAACAAUAGCAGGGUAGCUAAGGGGUGGUCGGUUCGGGGAGCGAUGGAGGCGGCGAGGAGCGGCCGCUGUAGCCACUCGCAUGCCUGGGCGGGCACCGGGGCUCUAUGUUUAAGGCGGUAGGGGCCUCCAGUGGAAAGUAGUGGUAGGCUCAAGACACCACGGAAUUUAACCACUUUAGCUAUGUGCCGAUAACCUUUGAAAUCUCAAAUCAGAGUAGUAUAAGUACUCAGUAGUUUUCGCACUUCGGUCAAGAUCGUUACUUCUAACCCGUAGUUUUGCGGGUUUUCCACGACGGUGAAGAUGACUUUUCCUAACAGUUCAUCUCUGACGAUCAAGAGUUCUUUGCUUACCACUUUUCUCUCUGUGGAGAGUUUUCCCUUCGUUGAACGGCGAUCUGGGUACGUAGAGCCUACUCUUUAGGCGUUGGUAGAGCCUUCAAGGUUCAGUCGUUCUCUACUAUGAUUGAUCACAACUUCGGCUACGACGUCUUCUGUUCCCGACGUCCGUAUGUUACCUCCUACGGACCCACCACGAAGGACUACGAUCGUACCCUAGAGGACCUUUAAACUCUAGACGUGUAAAACGUUAUAUACUACCCGUACCACCGGCGAACCGGCGCCUCAUACGUGUCUUCGUGAAUGUGGGCGUACAAUAACGACGUCCUAAUGGUGUACUUACAAUUUCACCGUUUCUUCCGGUAAUAACUUCCAAAGGCAUUUCGACUACUUAGUGAUGACGUUCUUUCACGAUUUCCUUUGACCGUUCUGCCGCGUUGUCGACAUACACAAACCCAGAACCCUGUCUGCCAACAUCAACGCUUACGACCCCUACGAUUUCGUCAUAAUCGAGCAAGAUGAAGUUGACUACCACUUCCACACCACCGACUGUGGUUUUCAGGUGACUUUCGAUAACAAAACUGUUCUCUUGUGUUUCGGUAGAAAGGUGUUCUUGCGAGCUCUUAGGUCUUCCACUUAUCGAAAUACCAAGGUUGUAAUUAAGUCAAGGGGGAGUAUUUAAUACAAAACGAAGCAAAACAUACAAGGGUUACUUUGUCGAGGGACGAACCACGGUUACGUUCCUACAACAUAGUAAAAAAAACCGUGGUAUUCAACAGUUUAGUCUAGACUAACCGUUAAUAUGGUUUAACUUCGGACUAUAAUAAGAUCAAACAAGUGUACUGAAAGAGCUUGUCAACUUAUAAUCGUAAAACCAACACGUAGGUUGGAUACGGAUCAACGGAACGGGAUUAACGAUGGUUAACAAUCGCUAUCCUUAAUCGACUAAACACUAUUCUUCAUGUUUAAACAAGAGGACAUCAGGUAAACGAGGAGAUAACCAAAAGAAGACACCAGAGUAAACGAGGAUUAAAAUGGUGACGAGAGGCUUACGGCAUAAACUACUCGUGGAAUGGUAACGUAUAGUUUACAAGUAAAACUACACAGAACCGAGUGCCAAUUAAAAUGGAACAAGAGCAUGUUUCCGAUUCUGAUGUUCCCGCGUAACUUCAUAGAUCUCGAGAACCUCUAGCAGUGAAAUUCUUCCACCCCAACUAACGUUGUGGUCUACAGGUAAGAAAACUUGAGUGUCACUUCCUGGUAAAGUAGUAAGAACCUACACUACCGAACACCCCUCACAAACCCGGUUCACUGCGACAACUUAAACAGGUCUUCGUUAACUUCCUCUGCAGGAGUCGGUGCGAGCGCCACGCCGCGGACCACUUCCUCCGACAGGCGCUCUCCGCCACGUUCCUAUUGACGUGACGACAAGACUAGCAGAAGUUCGUGAUCUUAACAAACCGACAACGUUGUUCGAAGAGUGUCUUGACUUGGGCUCUUCUCUUUAAACGCUUCUCGUUAUACACUAAGUUCGGAAGUACUAAAGGCACGAGACCGUUUGCUAACACGCACAGGUACUCUUGUGACAAUCACGUGAUAGACAUGAAGCAAAACUGUUAAAAAAAAAAACGAAAAAGGUUGGAACUAAGAACAUCGUUUUCGGGGAGAUUUGACGAUAUUUCUUUACAAUGAACCGGCCAGAGUACACUGGGUUCAGAGAAAAUGUCGAUAAAUGUUCCAGACUG